GAAGGAGCUCAGGUGAGACACCAUC
This 25-nucleotide non-coding RNA is filed under the name Mus musculus (house mouse). The record is from RNAcentral. Lineage: Eukaryota; Metazoa; Chordata; Mammalia; Rodentia; Muridae.